GCCCGGGUGACGGAAUUGGUAGACGUGCAGAACUCAAAAUUCUGUGGGUUUCGUGCCCAUGUGGGUUCAAAUCCCACCCCGGGCACAA
This 88-nucleotide transfer RNA is filed under the name Candidatus Parcubacteria bacterium. RNAcentral's name for it is "tRNA-Leu". It matches the Rfam family "tRNA". From Rfam's summary of the family: Transfer RNA (tRNA) molecules are approximately 80 nucleotides in length. Their secondary structure includes four short double-helical elements and three loops (D, anti-codon, and T loops). Further hydrogen bonds mediate the characteristic L-shaped molecular structure. tRNAs have two regions of fundamental functional importance: the anti-codon, which is responsible for specific mRNA codon recognition, and the 3' end, to which the tRNAs corresponding amino acid is attached (by aminoacyl-tRNA synthetases). tRNAs cope with the degeneracy of the genetic code in two manners: having more than one tRNA (with a specific anti-codon) for a particular amino acid; and 'wobble' base-pairing, i.e. permitting non-standard base-pairing at the 3rd anti-codon position. Lineage: Bacteria; Candidatus Parcubacteria. The record is from RNAcentral.